RNAcentral lists this ribosomal RNA (1492 nucleotides) under metagenome. Its description in RNAcentral is "bacterial SSU rRNA". It matches the Rfam family "Bacterial small subunit ribosomal RNA". The record is from RNAcentral.
AGAGUUUGAUCCUGGCUCAGAUUGAACGCUGGCGGCAUGCCUUACACAUGCAAGUCGAACGGUAACGCGGGGGCAACCCUGGCGACGAGUGGCGAACGGGUGAGUAAUACAUCGGAACAUAUCCAGUAGCGGGGGAUAACCUAUCGAAAGAUGGACUAAUACCGCAUACGAUCUACGGAUGAAAGCAGGGACCGCAAGGCCUUGCACUAUUGGAGUGGCCGAUGUCGGAUUAGCUAGUUGGUGGGGUAAAAGCUUACCAAGGCGACGAUCCGUAGCUGGUCUGAGAGGACGAUCAGCCACACUGGAACUGAGACACGGUCCAGACUCCUACGGGAGGCAGCACUGGGGAAUUUUGGACAAUGGGCGCAAGCCUGAUCCAGCCAUGCCGCGUGAGUGAAGAAGGCCUUCGGGUUGUAAAGCUCUUUCGGUGAAGACGAAACGGUUCAUGCUAAUAACGUGAACUAAUGACGGUACUCACAGAAGAAGCACCGGCUAACUACGUACCAGCAGCCGCGGUAAUACGUAGGGUGCAGGCGUUAAUCGGAAUUACUGGGCGUAAAGCGUGCGCAGGCGGUUUGCUAAGACAGGUGUGAAAUCCCCGGGCUUAACCUGGGAAUUGCGCUUGUAACUGGCAAGCUAGAGUGUGGCAGAGGGGGGUGGAAUUCCACGUGUAGCAGUGAAAUGCGUAGAUAUGUGGAGGAACACCGAUGGCGAAGGCAGCCCCCUGGGUUAACACUGACGCUCAUGCACGAAAGCGUGGGGAGCAAACAGGAUUAGAUACCCUGGUAGUCCACGCCCUAAACUAUGUCAACUAGUUGUCGGGGAAGAAAUUCCUUGGUAACGAAGCUAACGCGUGAAGUUGACCGCCUGGGGAGUACGGCCGCAAGGUUAAAACUCAAAGGAAUUGACGGGGACCCGCACAAGCGGUGGAUUAUGUGGAUUAAUUCGAUGCAACGCGAAAAACCUUACCUACCCUUGACAUGCUAGGAAGCCCGCAGAGAUGUGGGUGUGCCCGAAAGGGAACCUAGACACAGGUGCUGCAUGGCUGUCGUCAGCUCGUGUCGUGAGAUGUUGGGUUAAGUCCCGCAACGAGCGCAACCCUUGCCAUUAGUUGCUACAUUCAGUUGGGCACUCUAAUGGGGCCGCCGGUGACAAACCGGAGGAAGGUGGGGAUGACGUCAAGUCCUCAUGGCCCUUAUGGGUAGGGCUUCACACGUAAUACAAUGGUCGGUACAGAGGGCUGCCAACCCGCAAGGGGGAGCUAAUCCCAGAAAGCCGAUCGUAGUCCGGAUUGUAGUCUGCAACUCGACUGCAUGAAGCCGGAAUCGCUAGUAAUCGCGGAUCAGCAUGUCGCGGUGAAUACGUUCCCGGGUCUUGUACACACCGCCCGUCACACCAUGGGAGUGGGUUCCACCAGAAGUAGUUAGCCUAACCGCAAGGAGGGCGAUUACCACGGUGAGAUUCAUGACUGGGGUGAAGUCGUAACAAGGUA